UACGGGAGGCAGCAGUGGGGAAUAUUGCACAAUGGGCGAAAGCCUGAUGCAGCUAUGCCGCGUGUAUGAAGAAGGCCUUAGGGUUGUAAAGUACUUUCAUCGGGGAGGAAAAAACAAAACUAAUAAUUUUAUUUCUUGACGUUACCCGAAAAAGAAGCACCGGCUAACUCCGUGCCAGCAGCCGCGGUAAUACGGAGGGUGCUAGCGUUAAUCAGAAUUACUGGGCGUAAAGAGCACGUAGGUGGUUUUUUUAAGUCAGAUGUGAAAUCCCUGGGCUUAACCUAGGAACUGCAUUUUGAAACUGAAAUACUAGAGUAUCGUAGAGGGAGGUAGAAUUCUAGGUGUAGCGGUGAAAUGCGUAGAUAUCUGGAGGAAUACCUGUGGCGAAAGCGGCCUCCUAAACGAAUACUGACACUGAGGGUGCGAAAGCGUGGGGAGCAAAACAGGGAUUAGAUACC
This 458-nucleotide ribosomal RNA is filed under the name uncultured bacterium. Its description in RNAcentral is "bacterial SSU rRNA". It matches the Rfam family "Bacterial small subunit ribosomal RNA", at positions 340 to 786 of the family's 1533-position model. The record is from RNAcentral.